Long non-coding RNA from Solanum pennellii, 1021 nucleotides. RefSeq lists it as uncharacterized. Lineage: Eukaryota; Viridiplantae; Streptophyta; Magnoliopsida; Solanales; Solanaceae. The record is from RefSeq and is a predicted model, not a curated record. The transcript has 2 exons.
CUAAGUCUUAUUUCCUAUUAGUAUAUGAUACUUAGUAAACAAUAGUUUAUGGCACAUCAAAAAGGAAAAAAAAAAGUGAGACUGUUACACAUGGUGGUUGAGACAUAGUUAACCUUAGAAAGGUGGAUGUCAUGCUUAUAAACUUAUAAGCCUUCAACCACCAAAAAGCUACAUUCUUUUAUUUUUCCCCCCUAUAAAAUAAGAGCUUCACUUGAAUACAUUUCCCAUAAAAAUCUAACAAUCUCAUCUUAUACACUUAUAAAAAAAUAAUAAAAUUAGCGAUAGCUAAACAACAAAAUCCGUUACUAAUCCUAUUUAAUUAGUGACGGAUUAGCAACAAUUAUCAAUAUAGUUACCAGCAAUUUAACGACGAAGUUCGUAGCUAAUUCCGGGAGAUAUAUUCCAUUAUGCCUCUUCUCAAUAAUCAUAUCGUGUCUCUUUUCUUGAGUGCCAAUAAAUCAGAUGGAUUAAGAAGAAAAAGAAGGAAAAAACCCUAUCGAAGUUUGCUGGAUACAAUUUGAUAAAUCACCUGGAACAUUCAUUUGAGCAAGAAAGUUAGAGUUAGUAAGACGAUGAAGGUACGAGGAUGAUGUUGUUUUAACCAACCUCAACCUCGGACCUUCAUCUAUAACGUCAAUCAUUACGCACGCAAAACGUUCAUCACCGCUAUUUCACAUAAUAUUUCACUCAAAGAAAAUUUUGUGCAUGGCCCAAAGACAACAUGAAGUUUGUUAAUUAGUUGAGGCCUAUACACAUAACACAACAAAAAAUGCCUUUAAGUGGCAUUAGAUUCAAGAUUUAUAAUUUUGUUGAUUCAAUAUUAAAGAUUAUCAACAUUAUUUUCAUUAUAUUAUUAUAGUUAUGAAUUCGUAUAUGUUAUUUAUUGUAAUAACAAAGACCUUAUGACACUCAUAUUCAGAUUAAUUUAGGUUAUGGGUGUAAAUAAUACAUGAAACAAAAUCCUUUUGAACUUUAUAUUCUAAUUGACAUUUUUUCAUCAAUAAUUCUUAUUUUGUCUUAA